GGGCCCGCACAAGCGGUGGAACAUGUGGUUUAAUUCGAUGAUACGCGAAGAACCUCACCAAGGCUUGACAUAUAAGUAGUAGUGAACCGAAAGGGGAACGAGUCGUCAAGUCCGACAACUUAUACAGGUGCUGCAUGGCUGUCGUCAGCUCGUGUCGUGAGAUGUUGGGUUAAGUCCCGCAACGAGCGCAACCAUUGUCCUAUGUUGCCACUUCACCAAUUUCUGCUUGCAGAAUGGUGGAAGCACUCUUAGGAGACUGCCCGGGAUAACCGGGAGGAAGGUGGAGAUGACGUCAAGUCAGUACGGCCCUUAUGCCUUGGGCGACACACGUGUUACAAUGGCUGAUACAAAGGGUUGCGAACCUGCGAAGGGGAGCUAAUCUCUAAAAGUCAGCCUCAGUUCGGAUUGGAGUCUGCAAUUCGACUCCAUGAAGCCGGAAUCGCUAGUAAUGGGAGAUCAGAACGCUCCCAUGAAUACGUUCCCGGGCCUU
Molecule: ribosomal RNA, 490 nt
Filed under: uncultured bacterium
Lineage: Bacteria
Description: bacterial SSU rRNA
Rfam family: Bacterial small subunit ribosomal RNA
Source: RNAcentral